RNAcentral lists this microRNA precursor (84 nucleotides) under Chlorocebus sabaeus (green monkey). RNAcentral describes it as "miRNA (ENSCSAG00000025149.1)". Lineage: Eukaryota; Metazoa; Chordata; Mammalia; Primates; Cercopithecidae. The record is from RNAcentral.
GGCAUGAAAUCCUGUGGCAUCCACGAAACUACCUUCAACUCCAUUAUGAAGUGUGACGUGGAUGUUCAUGAAGACCUUUAUGCC